AUUGAACGCUGGCGGCAGGCCUAACACAUGCAAGUCGAGCGGCAGCGCGGGGCAACCUGGCGGCGAGCGGCGAACGGGUGAGUAAUACAUGGGAAUCUGCCUGGUAGUGGGGGAUAACUCUGGGAAACUAGAGGUAAUACCGCAUACGUCCUACGGGAGAAAGCGGGGGAUCUUCGGACCUCGCGCUAUCAGAGGAGCCCAUGUCCGAUUAGCUAGUUGGUGGGGUAAAGGCUCACCAAGGCGACGAUCGGUAACUGGUCUGAGAGGAUGGUCAGUCACACUGGAACUGAGACACGGUCCAGACUCCUACGGGAGGCAGCAGUGGGGAAUAUUGGACAAUGGGGGCAACCCUGAUCCAGCCAUGCCGCGUGUGUGAAGAAGGCC
RNAcentral lists this ribosomal RNA (384 nucleotides) under uncultured bacterium. Its description in RNAcentral is "bacterial SSU rRNA". It matches the Rfam family "Bacterial small subunit ribosomal RNA", at positions 29 to 416 of the family's 1533-position model. The record is from RNAcentral.